AGUCGUAUGAUUAUUUGUCUGUAGUGGUCCUGCUGU
RNAcentral lists this small RNA (36 nucleotides) under Spodoptera frugiperda (fall armyworm). RNAcentral's name for it is "LNCR rasiRNA". Lineage: Eukaryota; Metazoa; Arthropoda; Insecta; Lepidoptera; Noctuidae. The record is from RNAcentral.